GCGACAAUAGCUCAGGUGGCAGAGCACCUGCCUUUUAAGCAGGGUGUCGUGGGUUCGAAUCCCGCUUGUCGCACCA
This 76-nucleotide transfer RNA is filed under the name Agathobaculum butyriciproducens. RNAcentral's name for it is "tRNA-Lys". It matches the Rfam family "tRNA". From Rfam's summary of the family: Transfer RNA (tRNA) molecules are approximately 80 nucleotides in length. Their secondary structure includes four short double-helical elements and three loops (D, anti-codon, and T loops). Further hydrogen bonds mediate the characteristic L-shaped molecular structure. tRNAs have two regions of fundamental functional importance: the anti-codon, which is responsible for specific mRNA codon recognition, and the 3' end, to which the tRNAs corresponding amino acid is attached (by aminoacyl-tRNA synthetases). tRNAs cope with the degeneracy of the genetic code in two manners: having more than one tRNA (with a specific anti-codon) for a particular amino acid; and 'wobble' base-pairing, i.e. permitting non-standard base-pairing at the 3rd anti-codon position. Lineage: Bacteria; Bacillati; Bacillota; Clostridia; Eubacteriales; Butyricicoccaceae. The record is from RNAcentral.